RNAcentral lists this transfer RNA (74 nucleotides) under Candidatus Aenigmatarchaeota archaeon. RNAcentral describes it as "tRNA-Arg". It matches the Rfam family "tRNA". From Rfam's summary of the family: Transfer RNA (tRNA) molecules are approximately 80 nucleotides in length. Their secondary structure includes four short double-helical elements and three loops (D, anti-codon, and T loops). Further hydrogen bonds mediate the characteristic L-shaped molecular structure. tRNAs have two regions of fundamental functional importance: the anti-codon, which is responsible for specific mRNA codon recognition, and the 3' end, to which the tRNAs corresponding amino acid is attached (by aminoacyl-tRNA synthetases). tRNAs cope with the degeneracy of the genetic code in two manners: having more than one tRNA (with a specific anti-codon) for a particular amino acid; and 'wobble' base-pairing, i.e. permitting non-standard base-pairing at the 3rd anti-codon position. The record is from RNAcentral. Lineage: Archaea; Nanobdellati; Candidatus Aenigmatarchaeota.
GGACCCGUGUGGUAACUUGGAUAGCCGGCGUGGCUUCGGACCACGAGAUGAGGGUUCGAAUCCCUUCGGGUCCA